CGGCGACGGGUGAGUAACACGUAUGCAAUCCACCUGUAACAGGGGGAUAACCCGGAGAAAUCCGGACUAAUACCCCAUAAUAUGGGCGCUCCGCAUGGAGAGUUCAUUAAAGAGAGCAAUUUUGGUUACAGACGAGCAUGCGCUCCAUUAGCCAGUUGGCGGGGUAACGGCCCACCAAGGCGACGAUGGAUAGGGGUUCUGAGAGGAAGGUCCCCCACAUUGGAACUGAGACACGGUCCAA
This 241-nucleotide ribosomal RNA is filed under the name uncultured bacterium. RNAcentral describes it as "partial 16S ribosomal RNA". It matches the Rfam family "Bacterial small subunit ribosomal RNA", at positions 102 to 334 of the family's 1533-position model. The record is from RNAcentral.